Ochotona curzoniae (black-lipped pika) is the source of this 737-nucleotide long non-coding RNA. RefSeq lists it as uncharacterized. Lineage: Eukaryota; Metazoa; Chordata; Mammalia; Lagomorpha; Ochotonidae. The transcript is spliced from 3 exons. The record is from RefSeq and is a predicted model, not a curated record.
CUUGCUUCCCCUCUCCAUCUGCCUCUGAAACACAAAACACACCCUGCGCUGCCCCCAUGCUUACCUAGUGUGAGCACUUGAGUGUGACAAACCCCAGAUUUUGCCUUCCAGGAUAUAUUUGGCAACCUCUGGAAAUGUCCUUGGUGUCACAACUUUGGUUGGGCAGCUCCUCGCACACAGUGGGCCGGCAGAAGUGAAAGAGCCUGCAGAACCCCUGAAAUGCGCCCAGCAAACCCCGACAAUAAAGAAUCUCAUUGCCCCAAAUGGCAGCAGUACCAAAGAUGUCUCCUAUGUGAAAGCCUCAACCCUGGGAGAGUUCUUAACUGGGCGGGAUGAAGGCAAAUCCAAUGAGCCGGUCCUUCCAGAAGGCAUCAGAUAGAACAAAAGCAUCAUUCGUUCAGAAUAGGAGCCAUUGUGUUUUCUCUGUUACCAGUACCUGCACUGGGGAAUAGCGGCUUGAAAGAAUAUUUCAAGACCACAACCAACUGAGGAGUAGGACAUGACACCGAGAAUUCCAGGCAGCAUCACUCCAAUGGUUAAUGUGAUGUAUCUUCUUGACUGGGUCAGGUGUUUGUGUGGAUGUUUCUGGAUGACACUGACUUUUGAACACACGCUGGUGAAAUCAGCGCUGCCUUAGCCACCCCCCAAGCCAAUGCCUCCCCUCUGUUCCUUGCUUCCCUCUCAUAAUUACUCUUGUCUUUUUCCUCUUUCCAUUCCUCCCAGUCUUCUUCCACUUC